This 1731-nucleotide ribosomal RNA is filed under the name Triticum aestivum (bread wheat). RNAcentral describes it as "partial small subunit ribosomal RNA". Lineage: Eukaryota; Viridiplantae; Streptophyta; Magnoliopsida; Poales; Poaceae. The record is from RNAcentral.
AUGGACGGGCAGGAUUCGUUCCAGCCACGGCCGUGCUCUACCUCUCCUCCAUCGGACAAGAAGAGAACCCUCUCCUCGCUUCUCCUUUCUUCUAACUCCCGCCGACCGCCCCCAAACCCCAUCCAGCAAAAAGCCAUGGCGGCCAAGCACCUGCUCUCCCGCGCCCGCCUCCUCCUCACCCGCCACCGCAGCCGCCCCACCAUCCUCCCGCCCGCGCUCACCCGCCUCCUCUUCGGCGGGACAACCACCCCAGCCGAGCCGGAGGACGACGACAAGGCCAGGGCCCGGGCGGCGGCGGCGGCGGCCGUUGCCCUGGACGCCAAGAGGGCCAAGCGGGAGGGCUCCGACGACGACGACGAGGGCGCCGGGCUGCCCUGGACGUCCUGGCGGCCCGACGUGGCCUGGCUGACCAAGGCCCUGGAGCCGGCGCUGCAGCUCUACAAGCACUACAACUGGAAGCCAUUCGCCUCUGACAACAUCCCCGCAAGCACCCGCACUUUUAGCGAGAUCAUAAGUGACCUCCAGCACAGCAAGGUGAGCAUACAGGACUGGAGCCUCAGUGAUCUUACCGUCGGUCUCUACCUCAUUUACCUUACCCAAGCUUCUGCAAAGAAUGCUCAAGCUUUCAAGGGCGUCCAGAUAUCCUCCAAUAAGAAGGUCCAAGAAUUAAUUUAUCACCUUGAGCUCGCAAAGGGUUGCUAUAAGGGCAGUGCCACUGGGCUUGCAAAGCAUAGCAUGCUCCGGCCGAGGAAUGUUUUGAAGUUUGUCAAGGAUUCUAGUAUUUUCAGACCUGGAUAUUACAUCGGCAUCGAUCCACGUGCUAAACUGGUCAUCCUUGGGAUUCGUGGAACCCAUACGGUUUAUGACCUUGUCACCGAUUUGGUUGCAUUGAGCGAUAAGAAGGUGUCACCUAAAGGUUUCUCAACACACUUUGGAACAUACGAGGCCGCUCGAUGGUACCUACGCCAUGAGUUGAGCAUCAUCAGAAAAUGUUUGGAAAAACACAAGGACUACAAGUUGCGGUUGGUGGGCCACUCCCUUGGAGGAGCUUCAGCUGCCUUGCUUGCCAUAAUGCUAAGGAAGAAGUCGAAGGAGGAGCUUGGAUUUAGUCCAGACAUAGUUUCAGCUGUUGGAUUUGGAGUCCCACCCUGUGUAUCGAGAGAGAUAGCUGAGAGUUGCGCAAGCUAUGUCACCACUGUUGUACUGCAGGAUGACAUAGUUCCUAGGUUAAGUGCAGCUUCGCUGGCAAGAUUGCGAAAUGAAAUAAUUGAAACAGAUUGGGCCAAAGUCUUGGAGAAGGAAGACUGGAAGCAUAUAGUGGAUAUUGUGACUAAUGCUAAGCUUGUCGUUUCCUCCAUCCAAGAUGUGGCCAACAAACUUGCCGAUUACGCCAAAGUUGUAACAUCAGCUAGCUCCGGUGAUUCUGUGAAAGACCCGCCCCGUCUUCAGGGCCCGACGAAAGUUUUGAAGCCUGACGGUGAAGAAGACGUGUAUGUGCCUGAGGAUCUCUUCCUCCCAGGGACGCUGUAUUACCUCCAGCGGGACGUCGAGAAUAUAAACGGUGUCGAGGACGAGUCGUACACGCUCUGGAGAGGUGAUGCCGGGGAGAAUUUCCAGCGGAUACUGUUGUCUGGCAACUUGAUGUCUGAUCACAAAUGUGAUAGCAUACAGUACGCCCUCAGAGAUGUGCUCAAGACUCUACCUCUCCCUUUGCCUCUGCAGGAGGAUUAA